GCCGCCUUAGCUCAGUUGGUUAGAGCGCUGGAUUGUGGAUCCAGAGGUCGCUAGUUCAAACCUAGCAGGCGGUACCA
RNAcentral lists this transfer RNA (77 nucleotides) under Paracoccaceae bacterium. Its description in RNAcentral is "Rhodobacteraceae bacterium (beach sand metagenome) tRNA-His". It matches the Rfam family "tRNA". Rfam says of the family: Transfer RNA (tRNA) molecules are approximately 80 nucleotides in length. Their secondary structure includes four short double-helical elements and three loops (D, anti-codon, and T loops). The record is from RNAcentral. RNAcentral also lists the same sequence under 2 other names. Lineage: Bacteria; Pseudomonadati; Pseudomonadota; Alphaproteobacteria; Rhodobacterales; Paracoccaceae.